Melopsittacus undulatus (budgerigar) is the source of this 119-nucleotide small nucleolar RNA. NCBI's taxonomy places the organism in Eukaryota, Metazoa, Chordata, Aves, Psittaciformes, Psittaculidae. The record is from Ensembl.
UGCACUGAAUGGUAUCUGCACCCAGCAGCAUUCUCUGCUGGGAUGUUCAAAGAUCAUUGCUACAGGAGGUCAGUGUUGGCAUUGUUGUUUUUCAUUCUGCCAUGUUGGGUGAUAUGGUU